Long non-coding RNA from Ornithorhynchus anatinus (platypus), 886 nucleotides. RefSeq lists it as uncharacterized. NCBI's taxonomy places the organism in Eukaryota, Metazoa, Chordata, Mammalia, Monotremata, Ornithorhynchidae. The record is from RefSeq and is a predicted model, not a curated record. The transcript has 3 exons.
GUCAGUCGGUCAGUGGGUCAGUCCAUCGAGCCAUCAUUCGGUCCUUCAGGCAGGCAGUCCAUCAGUGGGUCUGUCCAUCAGUCCAUCCGUUAGCCAGUCAGACCGUUAGGCAGACAGCCGGUCCGUCAGUCGGUCAGCCCAUCGGUCCAUCGGUCCAUCAGUCAGUCCGUCCAUCAGCCAGUCAGACCGUCAGUCGGGCAGGCGGUCUGUCAGUCAGUUGGUCGGCCCAUCGGUCCAUCAGUCCAACGGGCAGCCCGUCAGCCAGUCCGCCCAUCGGUCGGUCAGACCUUCCAUCAGCCAGACAGACCAUUAGUCGGGGGGCAGCCAAGUCUCAGUCGGACACGAGCAGGCAGUGUCCACGUGGACAGGCAGCAGCGUCACGGCCCCACCGGCAGAGAACAGGAGUCCAUCGCUCUCUGCCCCGGAGUUGCAGCGAGGUUCCUGGGUACAGGUGGAUCCUGCCCUUCCCGGCGGCGGGUCCGGCUGACCUAAGAUGCAGGAAUGCCCUCUCUGGACAGAAUGGGGUGAAGAUUCCCCUGUUCGAAUGACUCAGAGCGGGCGUCUGAGCGGCGUUCACCUGGACUUGCUGAGUCCCAGAGACCCCGCAGUCCUACCGGCUCCCAAGAUUUUUACUUCCGGUGCCUAUUUCCUACUGCCUCGUGCUUCACCACCAUUCCCCAGCCCGUCCUACAUAAAGAACCACAUCAUCCAGCCAUGGAACACCAAAAAAGCAGCUAAGUCAAGCGAUGCACUUCCAAGCCCAAUGUGAGAGAUGCAACUGCAAUGGAAAAGGCCCAGCCAGUGACUCCGUCCAGGUAUCUUAGACCCAACACACUCUCGCCAUGGGGUCUGUUACAUCUGUAAGAUUAAAUAUUGCUGUGAACAA